UACAGAGGGUGCAAGCGUUGUCCGGAAUCACUGGGCGUAAAGGGCGCGUAGGCGGCCCGAUAAGUAGGGGGUGAAAUCUUGCGGCUCAACCGCAAGGCUGCCUUCUAAACUGUCGGGCUGGAGCACGGUAGAGGCAGAUGGAAUUCCCGGUGUAGCGGUGGAAUGCGUAGAGAUCGGGAAGAACAUCAGUGGCGAAGGCGAUCUGCUGGGCCGUUGCUGACGCUGAGGCGCGACAGCGUGGGGAGCAAACAGG
Molecule: ribosomal RNA, 253 nt
Filed under: uncultured bacterium
Lineage: Bacteria
Description: partial 16S ribosomal RNA
Rfam family: Bacterial small subunit ribosomal RNA
Source: RNAcentral